GAGACACCUGCAGGAUGAGAUAAUGAAUCAUGUGGGUCAACCACUCCCAAGGCCAAAGGAUCAUCCCAUCUGUUAAUAGUUGUGUCAAUGCCCACUUCAGCCAUGUGCUCCCCCAACUCUGAGUAAUAUGUAUUGUAGGGUGCCACCUGCAGCUUAUGGUUAUCACCAACCAUGAGUGGUCGCUGGGUUACCCCAAGAAAGAACACACAUUCACGACAAUUGGCAAUACAGACUCGCUUUGCUGCUGUAAUCACAUGAACCCGCUCACAGUGCUCAAUCCUUACAGCCUUGCCAACAGCACCAAGAAAUAUAGUAGCAUCAGAGCAUCCAUAGAUGGUGGCAUAUCUCAAGGG
Molecule: unclassified non-coding RNA, 353 nt
Filed under: Hevea brasiliensis (rubber tree)
Lineage: Eukaryota; Viridiplantae; Streptophyta; Magnoliopsida; Malpighiales; Euphorbiaceae
Source: RNAcentral